This 1425-nucleotide long non-coding RNA is filed under the name Pan troglodytes (chimpanzee). RNAcentral's name for it is "long non-coding RNA NONPTRT001620". Lineage: Eukaryota; Metazoa; Chordata; Mammalia; Primates; Hominidae. The record is from RNAcentral.
AUAAGUUUGUAGAAUUAAACAAUUCAUCAGGGUAAGUGCUGAGAUGAUAUGACUGGGGCACUGCUGCCUCUGGUACAGUCUCGUGAAAAAAGUGUAGAUGUUGACAUUUCCAUUUAACAGUACACAGCACCCAACUCCCUACUUACAACCUAUUUUGGAACCACUUAUGUCUUCUGUAGCUACAUUUAAAUACUUAUAUUUGACUUACAGGAAAUGUUGAAAAGUCACAGAACUUUGAGCUUGCUUUUAUAAAGGAGGUAUGGAACACUGGCUUCCCAAAUAUCACCAACACAACACAUUGGUAACACCAAGUUGAACUCACUGCCUGUGUUGCAAGGGAUAAUAGUAUCUCUACUGAGCAUUGGCCAUGUAUUGGUACAGGGGAGACAAGGUAAGAAUUUAUUAAGAAUUGGAAGUUUGGUUUAAGGCAAAUCUUUCAAUAAGGGGAUUUAAGAAUGAGAGACAAAAACUGAUAUAUAUGGCCAGGCGCAGUGGCUCACACCUGUAAUCCCAGCACUUUGGGAGGCCGAGGUGGGCGGAUCACGAGGUCAGGAGAUCAAGACCAUCCUGGCUUGUUUAUGUCCAAUCAGAAAAUCAGCCCAAAGGAAUUAAAUGGGUAUUAGAAUUGCCACAAAUCUUUGGAUUCCUUAAGAGGUUUGGAAGAUACUUCAAAUACAGAAAUUCGGAUGGUCUAAGUUCUUUUUCCAGAAAAAAAUAUAAACUAUAGUUGACUCUGGAACAACACAGUUUUGGACUGCACGGGUCUGCUUAUACGUGGAUUUUCUUUCACCUCUGCCAUCCCUGAUACAAGACCAACGCCUGGCUUUCUCCCUCUCCUUGCCCCAUUCAAUAUGAAGAUGACGAGGAUAAAAACCUUUAUGAUGAUCCAGUUCCACUGGAUAAAUAGCAAAUAUAUCUUCUCUUAUUUAUGAUUGAUUUGCUUAAUAACAUUUUCUCUUCUCUAGCUUACUUUAUUGUAAGAAUACAGUGUAUAUACAUGUAAUAUACAAAAUAUGUAUGAAUUGUUUGUUUUCAGUCAACAGCCUUGCAUCUUACAGUAUUUUACCCUCCCCAUUCUCUGGUAACCACUAUUCUAUAUUCUCCUUUCUACUUGUAUGAGAAGAACUUUUUAGAUUCCACAUGUGAGUGAGAUCAUUAAGUAUUAUUUUUAAUUUGAAAGAAUGACUUAGAAAAAUACUUGACCUUUACCUACUUAAUUCUUGUUUCCACAAUUCUGUGGUUUCAAAGAUAACUGUUAACUUGGCUCCUUCUAAAUGCACCACUGAAUAAGCACUCAUUAUCAGUGACUAUAAUCCUAACAGGAAGAUUGCUCAUUUAAACCCAUUGCAAAAGUCAGUAGAAGUUAAUAGUUUAUAUUUGGUCAUAGAAACUUUUAUAGUGACUGAAGAUUUAUAGUCAUACUGA